This is a long non-coding RNA of Felis catus (domestic cat), 2159 nucleotides long. RefSeq lists it as uncharacterized. The record is from RefSeq and is a predicted model, not a curated record. Lineage: Eukaryota; Metazoa; Chordata; Mammalia; Carnivora; Felidae. The transcript has 10 exons.
AAGAAUUUGAGUGUUCUGGGUGGUUGAGAUUCAGACCCUGACAGUUGUAACUGAUGGACUAGGCUGGGCACUGCUGAUGAACCUCACAUUCCUGAGAGAAAAAUCAUCCAAAAGUAUUCUUCAACUUUCUAGAAGUCAUUAUGAGGGGCCCUGACUAACUGAGGAGACUCAUACAGAAACCCUUGUCCCCAUCACAGAUACCUGGUUACCAUGUUCCUUCAAGAUGGCCAUCCCUUGGGAGGAUUACCCUUGGGCCUCAGAGAAGAAAGAAAACCAAAAGGCAUAAACAAUAAAUUGAAAAUUGAAGGUGAAAGCCAAGUCUAAAGAUUUAGAGUAAGAGUUGUAGGUAGUAUGAAGUUAUAUCCUUAAAGGGAAUAAACUCUACUUGAGGUAGUAGGACAUUAGUUAGUUAAUGAAUUUUGUCAGUGUGGUUAUUUGUAUAAUUCAUGUGAGUGCACAUUUACAACCUGAGAUGAAUUCCUUUACCUUGGUCUGCUUUUGGCUCUAUCUUGGUAUACAAGGCUGCUAUAAAAUGGAAGAUGCAAACUAAUUACAAGAUUAGGAGAAUUUUCAGAUAGGUGCUUAUCCUUGACCUGGCCCUACUAGAAAAUGAGGAUCACCUCAACAUGCAUUGGAGAAUUAAUAUUCCUGGCAGGCUAAUUCUACUUCUUUGCUCAAUCCAGGAGAAAAGAGAAUAAAAUGAAAAUCACAAAAAUAAUUUUCUCUCUAGGCCAUCAUUGCACUUUGUCCAAGUCUAGCAAGCACCAUGUGACAAGUAAGGGGUCAGGUAUUAUAUGGCUUGACACCUGUUCCCAGGCAGCCUGCUUAGGUGCCCACACUGUCCUGCACUGGAAGUUUUUCUCCCUGAAUGAUCCAGGCCGGCUCUCAGUGCAACAUGAACUCACUGAUUCUUUGCCAACCUCUCAGUUCCCUUGAAGUGGCAGGUGCUUAAAAGCCUGCCUCCUGUUGCAAACCUCUGACUUCCAACAGCAUCCCCUUCUUGGCUACACUUCUGAAUCUGGAGUUUUAGCAACCAAAUAUCAGAGGCUGGCAGAGAUCUCAGACGACGUUCUCCUGGAAUCACCUAGCCUGAGGGGUGCGUCCUUAUGAGGUCAAGGCUUUCAGAGGCGUUACAGUGGAAACUACGGGUCCGGAGAGAAAUGAGAUAGAGCGCUUGUCCUCAAGGAAAUUACCAUUUCCAGAGUAGGAACAAGUUCAUGCAUGUUUUCCUCGUCUGGUAACCUGUCACGUCACUUGUCUCUGGCCGAGCUGCAGCUUACAGGAUGAUCCUGCACCUUCUCUUCCCGGCACUUACUGCAUCUUGAGGGAGACGGAUGUAUCUCAGAGGAUCCCCGGUUUGGGGGCUGGAUGCAAUGAACAGAGAUCCAGGUUCCAGGCAGAAGAACAGGUUUUCAUUCUUCAGACCUGUUAGCACUUCAGUGGUGAAUACAGAAGACAAAAUUAGUACAGAUCAAGUAACAUGGAAAAGAAAAAAGAGACAGCACUAGAUACAGAAGCAGACAACAGGAGGAGAAAACUCAGGCCUUGGCAAAAGCCACAUUACCGAACAGGGUCGCAGAGAGUGUCAGCUGGGGUCAGAUGAGAACAGCAGUCUGACUCAACAUUUAUUGCACUCCUGCUGUAUGCCAAGAAAUGCACCGAAAUCUGGAAGUGUGUAACACAGGAGAAGAAAAGGCUUAUUGCCAAGGAGCCCUCACCUGGAAAGAGAGAUGGAAUCUCAGCCUAAGAUGGUGAAAUGUUGACAUGCUACCAGGAGGACAAAACAGCAGAGGACUAAUUUUAACUUCCUGUUGGCUCAAGCAGGAAACCCAAGCCAGACUGAUUCCUCCAUGUUUGACUUACAACUUCCAGAGCGUCUAGCCAGGUAUUCUGAGUGCCAUCAAGCAAGUAACAGCUGGAGAACGUGCAGCGAAAGAAACCACACAACAAGGAGCCAAAUCACAUUUUUCACUUAUUACGGAACAACUUUAGGAUAAGUUGACACUUAACACAUUGCAGUCCGGUGUUUGCCACCGUGUCUGAUACACGGUACUGUGUGUGUAUCAUGCAAUUAUGUUCUUCACAUUCAUAAACUUUGUUCACAUAAACUUAUUACAUUUUGGAACAGAUACAGCUAAAAUAAAUCUCUUUUGAAUUUU